This 1020-nucleotide long non-coding RNA is filed under the name Chrysemys picta bellii (western painted turtle). RNAcentral's name for it is "lncRNA (ENSCPBG00000004467.1)". The record is from RNAcentral. Lineage: Eukaryota; Metazoa; Chordata; Testudines; Emydidae.
UUAACUGUUCCAUUGAAAUUUUUUUUGAAGGGAAUGUAACAAUUGUGAGACUAAUAUCUUCCUAUUAGCUACAAAUAAAAAUUGAAACAGCAUGUACUUGUACUGAAUAUGCCUAGUAAUGGACUUUGAGUGAACUUGUGUGAUUUGACUCUGGGGAACGACUUAAUAGAAUGUGGACACGAAACAGUAGCAUGUUGCAUGAUUGAGAAUGUGUUAUUAUUAACAUGGGUCACAGCAAAUCAGGUGAUACAUUGUGUAAAAGUGAGACAAUAAUAUGAAAGCAAGUGUGUAUAUGUGAGCAAUAAGUAAUUUCCAUAAUUAAUUAAAAAGAGAGAGAAUGGAUUUUUAUCUAUGUCCAUAAACCGGAGGGGGGGAAAAGGGAAAGCAAAGCUCAUUUAUGCAGUCUGCUAAUGUACUCUCUAAAAAUUUCAGAAACUUCAUCAAACGAUUAACUAGAAAAUCCUCAUCUCAUUGGAACACUAAAAUUGUUCAUCAUCCCAGACAAAGUGAUGGCCACAACUGCGGACCACUCAUCUUAAAGUUUGCAGAAGCGUAUUUGCAGCACAAAGACAUCAGUAUGGUAGAAACAACACAAGAGGCUAAUACUGCCUUUAGAAGACAUAUAGCAAUUCUUCUAAUGAAGGAGUCAGGUAAUUACUUUCUACCACGUACUGUUGUCUCAUUAGGCACAUGUGAAGAUAACAUGAAGAGUGGAAUUAUGUCACAUAGCAGACAGUUAUCUUAAUACCCCUAAAGUGGGAUAUCUCACAGGUUUGGUUCUGUAAUGGUGACUAUGAACCAAUAAUAUCCUUAAGUCCACAAAAAUUUGAAUCAGGUGAAUGAUGAUUGCUAUUGAUCGGCCAGCUAAAUGAAAUUGGCAUUUUUAGAUACAGGGGCAGUAAACUAAAAAUUUGAGAAAAAAUGAGUCACAAAAAAGGAAAAGAUACGUUCAAACCAUUGACUGGAUUAAAAUAUUGACAUUAAUUAAUAAAUGAAGAUUUGCAUUUUCCGUUUUGGUCA